This 231-nucleotide ribosomal RNA is filed under the name uncultured bacterium. RNAcentral describes it as "partial 16S ribosomal RNA". It matches the Rfam family "Bacterial small subunit ribosomal RNA", at positions 103 to 334 of the family's 1533-position model. The record is from RNAcentral.
CGGGUGAGUAACGCGUGGGUAACCUGCCUCACACAGGGGGAUAGCAGUUGGAAACGGCUGAUAAUACCGCAUAAGCGCACAGUACCGCAUGGUACAGUGUGAAAAACUCCGGUGGUGUGAGAUGGACCCGCGUCUGAUUAGCUUGUUGGCAGGGUAACGGCCUACCAAGGCAACGAUCAGUAGCCGACCUGAGAGGGUGACCGGCCACAUUGGGACUGAGACACGGCCCAG